Molecule: ribosomal RNA, 429 nt
Filed under: uncultured archaeon
Lineage: Archaea
Description: bacterial SSU rRNA
Rfam family: Archaeal small subunit ribosomal RNA
Source: RNAcentral
UACCUGCAGCUCAAGUGGUGACCGCUAUUAUUGGGCCUAAAACGUUCGUAGCCGGCUGAGUAAAUGCUUGGGUAAAUCGUGUCGCUUAACGGUACGAAUUCCGGGUAGACUGCUCAGCUUGAGACCGGGAGAAGCUAGAGGUACUCCUGGGGUAGAGGUGAAAUCCUGUAAUCCUGGGGGGACCACCAGUGGCGAAGGCGUCUAGCUAGAACGGGUCUGACGGUGAGGAACGAAACCCUGGGGCGCAAACCGGAUUAGAUACCCGGGUAGUCCAGGGCGCAAACACUGCUUGCUUGAUGUUAGCUGGGCUCCGGGCUCAGCUAGUGUCGGAGAGAAGUUGUUAAGCAAGCUGCCUGGGAAGUACGAUCGCAAGAUUGAAACUUAAAGGAAUUGGCGGGGGAGCACAGCAACGGGUGGAGCGUGCGGUUU